GGGUUGUGAGGUUAAGCGACUAAGCGUACACGGUGGAUGCCCUGGCAGUCAGAGGCGAUGAAGGACGUGCUAAUCUGCGAAAAGCGUCGGUAAGGUGAUAUGAACCGUUAUAACCGGCGAUGUCCGAAUGGGGAAACCCAGUGCAAUUCGUUGCACUAUCGUUAACUGAAUACAUAGGUUAACGAGGCGAACCGGGGGAACUGAAACAUCUAAGUACCCCGAGGAAAAGAAAUCAACCGAGAUUCCCCCAGUAGCGGCGAGCGAACGGGGAGCAGCCCAGAGUCUGAAUCAGCUUGUGUGUUAGUGGAACGGUCUGGAAAGUCCGACGGUACAGGGUGAUAGUCCCGUACACCAAAAUGCACAGGUUGUGAACUCGAAGAGUAGGGCGGGACACGUGGUAUCCUGUCUGAAUAUGGGGGGACCAUCCUCCAAGGCUAAAUACUCCUGACUGACCGAUAGUGAACCAGUACCGUGAGGGAAAGGCGAAAAGAACCCCGGCGAGGGGAGUGAAAAAGAACCUGAAACCGUGUACGUACAAGCAGUGGGAGCACCUUCGGGUGUGACUGCGUACCUUUUGUAUAAUGGGUCAGCGACUUAUAUUCUGUAGCAAGGUUAACCGUAUAGGGGAGCCGCAGGGAAACCGAGUCUUAACUGGGCGUUAAGUUGCAGGGUAUAGACCCGAAACCCGGUGAUCUAGCCAUGGGCAGGUUGAAGGUUGGGUAACACUAACUGGAGGACCGAACCGACUAAUGUUGAAAAAUUAGCGGAUGACUUGUGGCUGGGGGUGAAAGGCCAAUCAAACCGGGAGAUAGCUGGUUCUCCCCGAAAGCUAUUUAGGUAGCGCCUCGUGAAUUCAUCUUCGGGGGUAGAGCACUGUUUCGGCUAGGGGGUCAUCCCGACUUACCAACCCGAUGCAAACUACGAAUACCGAAGAAUGUUAUCACGGGAGACACACGGCGGGUGCUAACGUCCGUCGUGAAGAGGGAAACAACCCAGACCGCCAGCUAAGGUCCCAAAGUCAUGGUUAAGUGGGAAACGAUGUGGGAAGGCACAGACAGCCAGGAUGUUGGCUUAGAAGCAGCCAUCAUUUAAAGAAAGCGUAAUAGCUCACUGGUCGAGUCGGCCUGCGCGGAAGAUGUAACGGGGCUAAACCAUGCACCGAAGCUGCGGCAGCGACACUAUGUGUUGUUGGGUAGGGGAGCGUUCUGUAAGCCUGCGAAGGUGUGCUGUGAGGCAUGCUGGAGGUAUCAGAAGUGCGAAUGCUGACAUAAGUAACGAUAAAGCGGGUGAAAAGCCCGCUCGCCGGAAGACCAAGGGUUCCUGUCCAACGUUAAUCGGGGCAGGGUGAGUCGACCCCUAAGGCGAGGCCGAAAGGCGUAGUCGAUGGGAAACAGGUUAAUAUUCCUGUACUUGGUGUUACUGCGAAGGGGGGACGGAGAAGGCUAUGUUAGCCGGGCGACGGUUGUCCCGGUUUAAGCAUGUAGGCUGGUUGUCCAGGCAAAUCCGGAUAAUCAAGGCUGAGGUGUGAUGACGAGGCACUACGGUGCUGAAGUAACAAAUGCCCUGCUUCCAGGAAAAGCCUCUAAGCAUCAGGUAACAUCAAAUCGUACCCCAAACCGACACAGGUGGUCAGGUAGAGAAUACCAAGGCGCUUGAGAGAACUCGGGUGAAGGAACUAGGCAAAAUGGUGCCGUAACUUCGGGAGAAGGCACGCUGGUGUGUAGGUGAAGUCCCUGCGGAUGGAGCUGAGACCAGUCGAAGAUACCAGCUGGCUGCAACUGUUUAUUAAAAACACAGCACUGUGCAAACACGAAAGUGGACGUAUACGGUGUGACGCCUGCCCGGUGCCGGAAGGUUAAUUGAUGGGGUUAUCCGUAAGGAGAAGCUCUUGAUCGAAGCCCCGGUAAACGGCGGCCGUAACUAUAACGGUCCUAAGGUAGCGAAAUUCCUUGUCGGGUAAGUUCCGACCUGCACGAAUGGCGUAAUGAUGGCCAGGCUGUCUCCACCCGAGACUCAGUGAAAUUGAACUCGCUGUGAAGAUGCAGUGUACCCGCGGCAAGACGGAAAGACCCCGUGAACCUUUACUAUAGCUUGACACUGAACAUUGAGCCUUGAUGUGUAGGAUAGGUGGGAGGCUUUGAAGCGUGGACGCCAGUCUGCGUGGAGCCAACCUUGAAAUACCACCCUUUAAUGUUUGAUGUUCUAACGUUGGCCCCUUACCGGGGUUGCGGACAGUGUCUGGUGGGUAGUUUGACUGGGGCGGUCUCCUCCCAAAGCGUAACGGAGGAGCACGAAGGUUAGCUAAUCCUGGUCGGACAUCAGGAGGUUAGUGCAAUGGCAUAAGCUAGCUUGACUGCGAGCGUGACGGCGCGAGCAGGUGCGAAAGCAGGUCAUAGUGAUCCGGUGGUUCUGAAUGGAAGGGCCAUCGCUCAACGGAUAAAAGGUACUCCGGGGAUAACAGGCUGAUACCGCCCAAGAGUUCAUAUCGACGGCGGUGUUUGGCACCUCGAUGUCGGCUCAUCACAUCCUGGGGCUGAAGUAGGUCCCAAGGGUAUGGCUGUUCGCCAUUUAAAGUGGUACGCGAGCUGGGUUUAGAACGUCGUGAGACAGUUCGGUCCCUAUCUGCCGUGGGCGCUGGAGAAUUGAGGGGGGCUGCUCCUAGUACGAGAGGACCGGAGUGGACGCAUCACUGGUGUUCGGGUUGUCAUGCCAAUGGCACUGCCCGGUAGCUAAAUGCGGAAGAGAUAAGUGCUGAAAGCAUCUAAGCACGAAACUUGCCCCGAGAUGAGUUCUCCCUGAGACUUUAAGUCUCCUGAAGGAACGUUAAAGACGAUGACGUUGAUAGGCCGGGUGUGUAAGCGCAGCGAUGCGUUGAGCUAACCGGUACUAAUGAACCGUGAGGCUUAACCUUACAACGCCGAAG
Molecule: ribosomal RNA, 2923 nt
Filed under: Klebsiella pneumoniae
Lineage: Bacteria; Pseudomonadati; Pseudomonadota; Gammaproteobacteria; Enterobacterales; Enterobacteriaceae
Description: bacterial LSU rRNA
Rfam family: Bacterial large subunit ribosomal RNA
Source: RNAcentral